Molecule: ribosomal RNA, 1170 nt
Filed under: Salmonella enterica
Lineage: Bacteria; Pseudomonadati; Pseudomonadota; Gammaproteobacteria; Enterobacterales; Enterobacteriaceae
Also listed under: 2 other names
Description: partial 16S ribosomal RNA
Rfam family: Bacterial small subunit ribosomal RNA
Source: RNAcentral
AAAUUGAAGAGUUUGAUCAUGGCUCAGAUUGAACGCUGGCGGCAGGCCUAACACAUGCAAGUCGAACGGUAACAGGAAGCAGCUUGCUGCUUUGCUGACGAGUGGCGGACGGGUGAGUAAUGUCUGGGAAACUGCCUGAUGGAGGGGGAUAACUACUGGAAACGGUGGCUAAUACCGCAUAACGUCGCAAGACCAAAGAGGGGGACCUUCGGGCCUCUUGCCAUCAGAUGUGCCCAGAUGGGAUUAGCUUGUUGGUGAGGUAACGGCUCACCAAGGCGACGAUCCCUAGCUGGUCUGAGAGGAUGACCAGCCACACUGGAACUGAGACACGGUCCAGACUCCUACGGGAGGCAGCAGUGGGGAAUAUUGCACAAUGGGCGCAAGCCUGAUGCAGCCAUGCCGCGUGUAUGAAGAAGGCCUUCGGGUUGUAAAGUACUUUCAGCGGGGAGGAAGGUGUUGUGGUUAAUAACCGCAGCAAUUGACGUUACCCGCAGAAGAAGCACCGGCUAACUCCGUGCCAGCAGCCGCGGUAAUACGGAGGGUGCAAGCGUUAAUCGGAAUUACUGGGCGUAAAGCGCACGCAGGCGGUCUGUCAAGUCGGAUGUGAAAUCCCCGGGCUCAACCUGGGAACUGCAUUCGAAACUGGCAGGCUUGAGUCUUGUAGAGGGGGGUAGAAUUCCAGGUGUAGCGGUGAAAUGCGUAGAGAUCUGGAGGAAUACCGGUGGCGAAGGCGGCCCCCUGGACAAAGACUGACGCUCAGGUGCGAAAGCGUGGGGAGCAAACAGGAUUAGAUACCCUGGUAGUCCACGCCGUAAACGAUGUCUACUUGGAGGUUGUGCCCUUGAGGCGUGGCUUCCGGAGCUAACGCGUUAAGUAGACCGCCUGGGGAGUACGGCCGCAAGGUUAAAACUCAAAUGAAUUGACGGGGGCCCGCACAAGCGGUGGAGCAUGUGGUUUAAUUCGAUGCAACGCGAAGAACCUUACCUGGUCUUGACAUCCACGGAAGUUUUCAGAGAUGAGAAUGUGCCUUCGGGAACCGUGAGACAGGUGCUGCAUGGCUGUCGUCAGCUCGUGUUGUGAAAUGUUGGGUUAAGUCCCGCAACGAGCGCAACCCUUAUCCUUUGUUGCCAGCGGUCCGGCCGGGAACUCAAAGGAGACUGCCAGUGAUAA